AUGAAAGUAAUAACUAUGUGAAAGUGAAAAAAAGGUUCUAACUAAAUAUAAAAAUGAAUUGAAUGUGUAAUGACAAACGUAUAAUAACUAUAAGGUAGUUAACACUAAAGAUUAAACGGACUGAGCUAUCUAUGAAAACUUGAUAAAAAGAGAGCAUAUAAAUUUGUGGUUGGAACUAAUUUUGAAUUUGAUCAAGUGAUGACUUAAAUUCUCAGCAAAGAGAAAUUGACAUCCUUAAAUGAGGUAAUGUCAUUGGUUAAGGACAAGAGGAGCCAAAGGAAUCUACUGAUUAUUCCCUAGCCCAAAGACGUCAUAACUUUUGUAACAAAGUUACUAACAAUCCAACU
RNAcentral lists this long non-coding RNA (347 nucleotides) under Spirodela polyrhiza (greater duckweed). RNAcentral's name for it is "long non-coding RNA (SPOL_LNC002042)". Lineage: Eukaryota; Viridiplantae; Streptophyta; Magnoliopsida; Alismatales; Araceae. The record is from RNAcentral.